RNAcentral lists this ribosomal RNA (588 nucleotides) under uncultured bacterium. RNAcentral describes it as "partial 16S ribosomal RNA". It matches the Rfam family "Bacterial small subunit ribosomal RNA", at positions 355 to 932 of the family's 1533-position model. The record is from RNAcentral.
UGGGGAAUAUUGGACAAUGGGGGCAACCCUGAUCCAGCCAUGCCGCGUGUGUGAAGAAGGCCUUUUGGUUGUAAAGCACUUUAAGCAGGGAGGAGAGGCUAAUGGUUAAUACCCAUUAGAUUAGACGUUACCUGCAGAAUAAGCACCGGCUAACUCUGUGCCAGCAGCCGCGGUAAUACAGAGGGUGCGAGCGUUAAUCGGAAUUACUGGGCGUAAAGCGAGUGUAGGUGGCUCAUUAAGUCACAUGUGAAAUCCCCCGGGGCUUAACCUGGGAACUGCAUGUGAUACUGGUGGUGCUAGAAUAUGUGAGAGGGAAGUAGAAUUCCAGGUGUAGCGGUGAAAUGCGUAGAGAUCUGGAGGAAUACCGAUGGCGAAGGCAGCUUCCUGGCAUAAUAUUGACACUGAGAUUCGAAAGCGUGGGUAGCAAACAGGAUUAGAUACCCUGGUAGUCCACGCCGUAAACGAUGUCUACUAGCCGUUGGGGUCCUUGAGACUUUAGUGGCGCAGUUAACGCGAUAAGUAGACCGCCUGGGGAGUACGGCCGCAAGGUUAAAACUCAAAUGAAUUGACGGGGUCUAGCUGUUUCCU